CGCGCAGACCGCCUUAUCGCCGUCCGUCUUAGGCGGAAGGAGGAAAGUCCGAGCACCAUAGGGAAGCAUAGCGGCUAACGGCCGUCGUUCAGGAUUUUAUUCUGAAAAGGACCAGUGCAACAGAAAGAAUGUACAGAUAAUGCUGUAGUGAAACCAGGUAAACUCUAUGCGGUGAAAUGUCACGUAAACUAGUGUCCCGUUUAUUCGGGUAAGGGUUCCCACCCAAUGCUGGAGGGUAGGCAGAUGGAACAAUCGAGUAAUUGAUUGUCUAGAUAAAUGAUAAGGGUUCGCUUAGGCGAAUACAGAACUCGGCUUAUAGGUCUGCUUUUUUU
This 332-nucleotide RNase P RNA is filed under the name unidentified eubacterium SCB49. Its description in RNAcentral is "Bacterial RNase P class A". It matches the Rfam family "Bacterial RNase P class A". From Rfam's summary of the family: Ribonuclease P (RNase P) is a ubiquitous endoribonuclease, found in archaea, bacteria and eukarya as well as chloroplasts and mitochondria. Lineage: Bacteria; Pseudomonadati; Bacteroidota. The record is from Rfam by way of RNAcentral.